Long non-coding RNA from Drosophila serrata, 476 nucleotides. The record is from RefSeq and is a predicted model, not a curated record. Lineage: Eukaryota; Metazoa; Arthropoda; Insecta; Diptera; Drosophilidae.
UACAGCAGCACCAGAGGGGGAGGGUGUGUGGAAAAUGGAGGAGGAGGGAUAGUUUUUUGGGUUUUUCCAGGAGGAGCACAAAGCCAUGGACAGAUAUACAGAUAUGGCCACCCCCAUACCUUCCUGAAUAAUGUGUGUAAAUGGGACCCAAAAGAUGCCGAUGCCAUCGUCCCGCUGUCUUUGGCAAUUCUCGGCGAACGUGUAAGUAGCCGCUGGCAGAAAGGAUAUAUAUGUAAGGAUGUGCGAGAUGCUGCAGCUGUCGUCGGAACAUGACAACUUAUUGGCAUUUUGCUGCCAACAUCCCUGACAGUUUUGCUUCUACAUUUAAGGCCUUAAACAACUUCUAGCUGCAAAUUGAAAAUCUGAUAAAAAUGGGAGAUUUAGAAAAGGGGAAGAUGGCUAUCAUUUUAAAUGAUUGACAAACGUAGGCAUUGCACUGGAAAUAUUUUUAUAAAAAUAUAAACAGAGAAUAUAUA